RNAcentral lists this unclassified non-coding RNA (250 nucleotides) under plant metagenome. Its description in RNAcentral is "partial contains small subunit ribosomal RNA, internal transcribed spacer 1, and 5.8S ribosomal RNA". The stretch from base 193 to 250 matches the Rfam family "5.8S ribosomal RNA", at positions 1 to 55 of the family's 154-position model. The record is from RNAcentral.
GUUGGUGAACCAGCGGAGGGAUCAUUACCGAGUUUACAACUCCCAAACCCUUUGUGAACCUUACCAUAUCGUUGCUUCGGCGGGUCUCGCCCCGGCGCCCCCGGGCCCGGAACCAGGCGCCCGCCGGAGACCCCAAACUCUCAUGUCUUUAGUGGUUUUCUCCUCUGAGUGUCACAUAAACAAAUAAAUAAAAACUUUCAACAACGGAUCUCUUGGUUCUGGCAUCGAUGAAGAACGCAGCAUCUGACUG